AAUCCAUAGGUUAAUGAGGCGAACCGGGGGAACUGAAACAUCUAAGUACCCCGAGGAAAAGAAAUCAACCGAGAUUCCCCCAGUAGCGGCGAGCGAACGGGGAGGAGCCCAGAGCCUGAAUCAGCAUGUGUGUUAGUGGAAGCGUCUGGAAAGGCGCGCGAUACAGGGUGACAGCCCCGUACACAAAAGCGCAUGUGCUGUGAGCUCGAUGAGUAGGGCGGGACACGUGGUAUCCUGUCUGAAUAUGGGGGGACCAUCCUCCAAGGCUAAAUACUCCUGACUGACCGAUAGUGAACCAGUACCGUGAGGGAAAGGCGAAAAGAACCCCGGCGAGGGGAGUGAAAAAGAACCUGAAACCGUGUACGUACAAGCAGUGGGAGCACAGGUUUACCUGUGUGACUGCGUACCUUUUGUAUAAUGGGUCAGCGACUUAUAUUCUGUAGCAAGGUUAACCGAAUAGGGGAGCCGGAGGGAAACCGAGUCUUAAUUGGGCGUUAAGUUGCAGGGUAUAGACCCGAAACCCGGUGAUCUAGCCAUGGGCAGGUUGAAGGUUGGGUAACACUAACUGGAGGACCGAACCGACUAAUGUUGAAAAAUUAGCGGAUGACCUGUGGCUGGGGGUGAAAGGCCAAUCAAACCGGGAGAUAGCUGGUUCUCCCCGAAAGCUAUUUAGGUAGCGCCUCGUGAACUCAUCUCCGGGGGUAGAGCACUGUUUCGGCUAGGGGGCCAUCCCGGCUUACCAACCCGAUGCAAACUGCGAAUACCGGAGAAUGUUAUCACGGGAGACACACGGCGGGUGCUAACGUCCGUCGUGAAGAGGGAAACAACCCAGACCGCCAGCUAAGGUCCCAAAGUCAUGGUUAAGUGGGAAACGAUGUGGGAAGGCCCAGACAGCCAGGAUGUUGGCUUAGAAGCAGCCAUCAUUUAAAGAAAGCGUAAUAGCUCACUGGUCGAGUCGGCCUGCGCGGAAGAUGUAACGGGGCUAAACCAUGCACCGAAGCUGCGGCAGCGAACGUAUCACUUAAAGCGAUUCAGCGGAUGACGAUUGACGGAGCGAAGCGACGUCAAAGCGUAUACAAAGUCGAGUCGGUUUAAGGAUACGUUCGUUGGGUAGGGGAGCGUUCUGUAAGCCUGUGAAGGUGGCCUGUGAGGGUUGCUGGAGGUAUCAGAAGUGCGAAUGCU
This 1182-nucleotide ribosomal RNA is filed under the name Salmonella enterica subsp. enterica serovar Kentucky. RNAcentral's name for it is "partial 23S ribosomal RNA". It matches the Rfam family "Bacterial large subunit ribosomal RNA", at positions 161 to 1298 of the family's 2925-position model. Lineage: Bacteria; Pseudomonadati; Pseudomonadota; Gammaproteobacteria; Enterobacterales; Enterobacteriaceae. The record is from RNAcentral.